RNAcentral lists this ribosomal RNA (465 nucleotides) under uncultured bacterium. RNAcentral's name for it is "bacterial SSU rRNA". It matches the Rfam family "Bacterial small subunit ribosomal RNA", at positions 338 to 795 of the family's 1533-position model. The record is from RNAcentral.
CCUACGGGUCGCAGCAGUGGGGAAUAUUGCACAAUGGGCGCAAGCCUGAUGCAGCCAUGCCGCGUGUGUGAAGAAGGCCUUCGGGUUGUAAAGCACUUUCAGCGGGGAGGAAGGCGGUGAGGUUAAUAACCUCAUCGAUUGACGUUACCCGCAGAAGAAGCACCAGCUAACUCCGUGCCAGCAGCCGCGGUAAUACGGAGGGUGCAAGCGUUAAUCGGAAUUACUGGGCGUAAAGCGCACGCAGGCGGUCUGUCAAGUCGGAUGUGAAAUCCCCGGGCUCAACCUGGGAACUGCAUUCGAAACUGGCAGGCUAGAGUCUUGUAGAGGGGGGUAGAAUUCCAGGUGUAGCGGUGAAAUGCGUAGAGAUCUGGAGGAAUACCGGUGGCGGAGGCGGCCCCCUGGACAAUGACUGACGCUCAGGUGCGAAAGCGUGGGGAGCAGACAGGAUUAGAUACCCUGGUAGUC